Pelobates cultripes (western spadefoot toad) is the source of this 294-nucleotide non-coding RNA. The record is from the annotation of a GenBank genome assembly. NCBI's taxonomy places the organism in Eukaryota, Metazoa, Chordata, Amphibia, Anura, Pelobatidae.
UUUGCACUCUAUGCAAGACUCUGCCUUGACACAGUAGCAUACAAUUCAAAAAGUGCAUAAAUUGGAGUGACACUCGCUAAGAAUUCCACCAGUAGUGCUUCCAGACUAAGGUGGACCAUUCCAAAUGUAUUCUUAAUCAUGAAGAAAGUUCAAAGGCACAUAUAGAUGGUGUUGCAGUUUCCACAGGAGCCUUUAUCCAGCUAACACAAACAGUGUGCAAAACAAUAGAUACAUUAUUAAAUCACACAAACUGAACUACAUAAAUUCCAUACACAAAUAUCAUAUUAUAUGCAC